This 287-nucleotide ribosomal RNA is filed under the name uncultured bacterium. RNAcentral's name for it is "partial 16S ribosomal RNA". It matches the Rfam family "Bacterial small subunit ribosomal RNA", at positions 775 to 1067 of the family's 1533-position model. The record is from RNAcentral.
GGAUUAGAUACCCUGGUAGUCCACGCCGUAAACUAUGAUUACUCGUUAUUGGCGAUACACAGUCAGUGACUAAGCGAAAGUGAUAAGUAAUCCACCUGGGGAGUACGGUCGCAAGAUUGAAACUCAAAGGAAUUGACGGGGGCCCGCACAAGCGGUGGAGCAUGUGGUUUAAUUCGAUGAUACGCGAGGAACCUUACCAGGGCUUAAAUGCAGAGUGACCGUUCCGGAAACGGAACUUUCUUCGGACAAUUUGCAAGGUGCUGCAUGGCUGUCGUCAGCUCGUGCCG